AUUGAACGCUGGCGGCGUGCUUAACACAUGCAAGUCGUACGUGAUCCGGAGCUUGCUCCGGUGAAAGUGGCGCACGGGUGAGUAACGCGUGGAUAACCUGCCCUGGUAUCUGGGAUAACAUCUCGAAAGGGGUGCUAAUACCGGAUAAGCCCACGGGACCUUCGGGUUCUGAGGGAAAAGGUGGCCUCUGUUUCAUGCUACCGUAUCAGGAUGGGGCCGCGUACCAUUAGCUAGUUGGUAGGGUAAUGGCCUACCAAGGCGACGAUGGUUAGCUGGUCUGAGAGGAUGAUCAGCCACACUGGAACUGAGACACGGUCCAGACUCCUACGGGAGGCAGCAGUGGGGAAUUUUGCGCAAUGGGGGAAACCCUGACGCAGCAACGCCGCGUGAGUGAUGAAGGCCUUCGGGUCGUAAAGCUCUGUCAGAGGGGAAGAAAUGAUGAGGUGCUAAUACCAUCUCUUCUUGACGGUACCCUCAAAGGAAGCACCGGCUAACUCCGUGCCAGCCGCCGCCGUAA
RNAcentral lists this ribosomal RNA (517 nucleotides) under uncultured bacterium. Its description in RNAcentral is "partial 16S ribosomal RNA". It matches the Rfam family "Bacterial small subunit ribosomal RNA", at positions 30 to 523 of the family's 1533-position model. The record is from RNAcentral.